Molecule: long non-coding RNA, 3085 nt
Organism: Daphnia pulex (common water flea)
Lineage: Eukaryota; Metazoa; Arthropoda; Branchiopoda; Diplostraca; Daphniidae
Exons: 10
Source: RefSeq, a predicted model, not a curated record
GUACUGUUUAGCCCUAAACACCAGACUUCCUUGCAGACUACUCAAGUGAAAAAUCAAAACAUUGUGUUUUUUUCUAUACAAGUUGUGACAGUUGUAGUUUUCGGUAAAGGGAGAAUUCAUUAUCAAAGGAAUCAUUAUUACUCUCUAGUUAUUUAUUGCGUUUUGAAGAUUGAUUCAAACUUGUAGCGAUUUUCGGAUAUACACAUGUAAUUGUGAGAACACAGAGAACAAAGGAGAACGAGACAUUAAACAUGUUUUGUACGCUUUCCUGAUGAAAAGUUUUAGAAUUCCACCAGUUUACGACGUUAAUUCAAUGGGAGAUCAGAGUGGAUACUACUACUGUAAGUUGUGUGUGAGAGGAUUCAGUUAUGUUGCAACUGGAAGAUCAAGUUAAAACGCAAUGCCCAAGCCAAUGCUGGCAACAGCUUGGCACAUUUGGUUUACCAAGGAAUCAUGAACACACUUACCAUAAUAAAGCAAAUGGGGAUCCGCAAAUGGGACCACAUGGAUGUUCAGGUAACACAAUCAUCAGCGCAAGACAUUCAGAGAACAAAUGGAAAUUCCCACCACAAGUUUAGCUUCCUUCAAUCCUGGAGGGUACUCUGUUGAAAACAAUAAAGCUAAACUACAUCCAUUUUUAGCAGAACAUAGAAUCAAAACAGAUUAUGUGUACCAAUCUUAUGGGCCUGAUCUGAUGAAAAGAGUUUUUUCGACGAACAGCAUUUUGUCUUUCGUGCAGAGAAAUACAUGCUCGCUAACGAGCUUGUACAAAAGUGCUGGCUUCUAAAGCUUGCGCCCUUUCGAUCGUCAAAACAAUUAUUCCAAACGGAAUUUGUCGAACCGGCUGGGUCUCGAGUUAGUGUUAGAAAAAAAAAAAAAAAAAAAAUCUAGACACCAGACCUUUCCCCGUCAUUGUUCGCGGUGAAUUAGAGAUGGAGUUAAAUCGCACUGUUCUGGAAGAUCGUCUAUUACCUAUUAAAGUAGUACUGGUAUGUAUUGUUUAUAUUGGAAUUUUCCUGAGAUAUUUUGGCCCUCCUGUAAAGUAAGGAGGGCUUUCCAAAAAUUGUACCGCGGACAUAUUGCCGGGUACGUUGAUUUAUAAUGGUUUCAGCAGCAAUACUCUCACCAUACGUUCAUUGGGUAUUGGCCUCCCACUUGAUAAGGACAAGAUAUAGUAUGAGUUUUACAAUGCUUUAUACUUUGGUGUGCCAGAAAUAGUGUUUGUGAAUGGCGCAACUAUUUACGAACUAGAUCUUUUUUGUUGUUCCAGCUAUAUUUAUAAUUAUCCUAGAUAAUAUUAAUCUUUACUUUUGAAAACAAAGCUCACGAUUAAUUUAUGAUACAUUUUAGAAACAGGAUUUAUCAGAGCCGCAAACUCUGUAGGAUGGGUGACUUGCACCAAAAUCCAUGCACCUUAAUGAAAUUGAUUCCUGUCGUGGGUCAACUCAAGUGACAUUCCGUGGUCUUCUCCUACUGCCAAUUGACCAACAUGGACCGCUAGUAGAAUCGAACGAGGACGUUUCGCUACGACUUCAUUGGAUACAAUUUGUCAAACCUUGUGGUAGAGACAAGAGCGUAUUUUACAAUCAGAUCGCAGUUUUCUAAAGGCACUAGAGGAGCGCAAAUCUUUACCUAUUUAUGCCUUCCAGAAUGCUGUUAUGGAUGCUGUUUACUGUAAUUCCGUUGUCGUAUUCGUGGUAAUACGGGUUCUGGCAAAACAAUUCUGAUUAUUGUUGAUGAGGUUCACGAACGCAAUACAAAUUCUGAUUUCCUACUCAUUAUGCUGCGUGAUUUGGUGACCCUGCACCCUGAACUUCGCAUCAUUUUGAUGUCAGCAACUAUUGAUACUUCGCUUUUCAGUCGCUACUUUGGCAAUUGCCCAGUAGUCGAUAUUCCUGGCAGAGUUCACCCCGUGAAAUUAUUACUUGAAGGAUUGUGUUGGAGAUGCUUCGAUUUCGACCAAGACAAUAUACAAAGAAAACAUUUAUACGCAAAGAUGUUGAUGGCGAAGAGAACAUGAAUUUGAAGGUGAUGGGGAAAUACUCCUUUAGCUAUGGCUCUUCUCGAUGAGAAAGAUAUAUGUUUAGAGUUGGUGGAAGAAUUACUUACUCACAUCAAUCAAAUGAAAGUUCUUGGCGCAGUGCUUAUUUUCUUACCCGGAUGGAUCACUAUUUUCGCAUUGCUUCAACUUUUGCAACAAAGUUGAUAUGCUAGCGAUUAUCUACUCCUACCGUUGGACUCCAUGUUGCCACGAGAAAAUCAGUGACGUGUUUUUUAGCCUGCUCCCGAGCGCAAAAUGAUCAAGGUCAUUUUGGCGACGAACAUCGCGGAAUCUUCCAUAACCGAUGAUGAUGUCUUUGUCAUCGAUUCGUGUCUCGCAAAUGUCAAGCUUUUUACGUCACACAACAAAUAUGCACAACUACGCUACUGUUUGGGCAGCUCAGGACAAUUUAGAACAACGUCGGGGUCGUGCCGGCCGCGUCCGUCCGGGAUAUGCCUUUCGAUUGUGCAGCCGCCGUCGCUACCAACAUUUGAUUACCGAAUACCCGAACUCGCCUGCCUGUCAGAAUUCUAAACGUCCUUCAGACGGAAGAUAUGACAGCGAGUUCAAAUUUGGUCGUUACGAAACUCGUGUUGUAUCUCAUCGGCCUUCCCUAUCAAUCAAAACUUUUCGUCAUGGAGAAACGAAUCGGUGAGCAAUGACUCGAUUGGACCUUUUUCCAGCGGUCAACGAGGAGUGAACGGCAACUGGUGCAGAACUUUAGAGUACGAACGAAAACAAGAUGGCUAUCCUACUAAUGUAGGAUGAAAAGGCGCAAUCAGAGCACUGCAGUUCACAUCAAUCAAGCAUGCCCAGUUCCCAACGCUGAUGGAUUGAGUCUUGUAAGUUGUAAUGGUAUAUCAAAGUACUCACUUCGGAAACAGUUUGUCUGUUUGAAUUCGUAUACGUGGAUCUCUUUAAAAUAAGACAAAAUCUAUUGUACUAUUCCAAUGCUUCGUAUGAUAUUUACGCAAGACUUAAAUUAAAAUUGUGUGCAUAUAUGUUUGAAGAAUCCUCUUACUUAAAUACAACGUCAAAUAACAA